This 318-nucleotide unclassified non-coding RNA is filed under the name fungal sp. RNAcentral describes it as "partial internal transcribed spacer region". The stretch from base 1 to 46 matches the Rfam family "Eukaryotic small subunit ribosomal RNA", at positions 1786 to 1831 of the family's 1831-position model. The record is from RNAcentral. Lineage: Eukaryota; Fungi.
AAGUCGUAACAAGGUUUCCGUAGGUGAACCUGCGGAAGGAUCAUUAACACGUAUCCAACGUUAACCCCCUGUGAACCUUCAUUGUGGACCCCCAUUCCGUUAGAACGCGGCAAUCCCUGGUAAAUCAUCGCCGAACAGUUUUGCAAGUGGCCUGGCAUUCGUAAGAAUGGCGCAGUCACGAUCGCUAGAGGCCGACACGGCCGGCGACCGGGUCACUGGGCUCUGCCCCCCUAUUAUCUUUGCAUGAAACCGGGCCUGCGCUUAAUUGUGCGGCCACCAAACUUCGAACAACUGUUAACAAUGGAUAUCUUGGUUCUC